Poecilia formosa (Amazon molly) is the source of this 73-nucleotide non-coding RNA. Lineage: Eukaryota; Metazoa; Chordata; Actinopteri; Cyprinodontiformes; Poeciliidae. The record is from Rfam.
GGUUCUAUAGUGUAGUGGUUAUCACGUUGGCUUCACACGCAAAAGGUCUCUGGUUCGAAACCAGACAGAAACA